CUUGGUCAUUUAGAGGAAGUAAAAGUCGUAACAAGGUUUCCGUAGGUGAACCUGCGGAAGGAUCAUUAUCGAAAUUAUUGGUGAGGGUUGUAGCUGGCCUUUCGAGGCAUGUGCACGCUCGAGCCCUUAAUCCACUUUACACCUGCGCACUUAAUGUAGGUCGCCCUUAAAAAAGGUGACCUAUGUCUUAUCAUCAACCCAUCGUAUGUCUCAUAGAAUGUAAUCGAUAUCCUCGCCCUGAAAAAGCGUUGAUAAACUUAUACAACUUUCAACAACGGAUCUCUUGGCUCUCGCAUCGAUGAAGAACGCAGCGAAAUGCGACAAGUAAUGUGAAUUGCAGAUUUUCAGUGAAUCAUCGAAUCUUUGAACGCACCUUGCGCUCCUUGGUAUUCCGAGGAGCAUGCCUGUUUGAGUGUCAUUAAAUUCUCAACUCCAAGGGUUUCACGACCUUUCGGAGAUUGGACUUGGAGGUGCUGGCCGCAUAUUGGUCGGCUCCUCUCAAAUGCAUCAGCGGAAUUCAACCUUUGGCUUCCGGAUGUCAGUGUGAUAAUCAUGUUGCGCUGUCGUUUGAUCCCUCAGAGUCCGCUUAUAAUGGUCUUCGGACAAAAUCAUCACCAAAUUUGACCUCAAAUCAGGUAGGACUACCCGCUGAACUUAAGCAUAUCAAAAGCGGAGGU
Molecule: ribosomal RNA, 677 nt
Filed under: uncultured fungus
Lineage: Eukaryota; Fungi
Description: eukaryotic LSU rRNA
Rfam family: 5.8S ribosomal RNA (bases 264-418)
Source: RNAcentral